GAUCUUAUUCCUAAACGGUAUCUUUCAAGUUUAAUCUUUUUUAAGAUCUUUGUUGACCUCUUGCAAGGAAGAUACACUCAUAAUUGAUUUGAGACAAUAUUGAAACCCUAGUCCAUGCUAUAUAAAAGGAUCAAUUAUGAAGAAGAAUACACAACACAACAACACAAAAAACCUUACGAACUCAAAAAAAAAAUUCUAAGUAUUCAGUUUCAAGUUUUCAAUUUCAAAGAAAAGGUACUCAUUCAAUUUAUAUUACUUAGUGCUCUAUUUUAAGUAAUUCAUUUUAAUCAUUUUUCUUAGAAGAAGCAACACAAAAUCAAGUUUCACCCCUUUGUAACCUAGUCGAGUAGUGACUAUUUUUCUUAAACGACUUGUAGGUUUUUUAAAUUGGAAGUUGAGAAGACUGACUUGUAGGGUGAGGUAUUGUAAUUCAAGUUUUAAAUUAGUGGAUAAAUCAUUAUGUGUGAGGGAAAAUGAUGUACUUGGCACUUUGUUUUCUUU
This 501-nucleotide long non-coding RNA is filed under the name Cicer arietinum (chickpea). RNAcentral's name for it is "long non-coding RNA (CARI_LNC002674)". Lineage: Eukaryota; Viridiplantae; Streptophyta; Magnoliopsida; Fabales; Fabaceae. The record is from RNAcentral.